CGUAGGUGGCAAGCGUUGUCCGGAUUUAUUGGGCGUAAAGGGAGCGCAGGUGGUUUCUUAAGUCUGAUGUGAAAGCCCACGGCUUAACCGUGGAGGGUCAUUGGGAACUGGGGAACUUGAGUGCAGAAGAGGAAAGUGGAAUUCCAAGUGUAGCGGUGGAAUGCGUAGAUAUUUGGAGGAACACCAGUGGCGAAGGUGACUUUCUGGUCUGUAACUGACACUGAGGCUCGAAAGCGUGGGGAGCGAACAGGAUUAGAUACCCUGGUAGUCCCUGA
This 275-nucleotide ribosomal RNA is filed under the name uncultured prokaryote. Its description in RNAcentral is "partial 16S ribosomal RNA". It matches the Rfam family "Bacterial small subunit ribosomal RNA", at positions 526 to 800 of the family's 1533-position model. The record is from RNAcentral.